Eriocheir sinensis (Chinese mitten crab) is the source of this 920-nucleotide long non-coding RNA. RefSeq lists it as uncharacterized. NCBI's taxonomy places the organism in Eukaryota, Metazoa, Arthropoda, Malacostraca, Decapoda, Varunidae. The transcript has 3 exons. The record is from RefSeq and is a predicted model, not a curated record.
UGUUCCACUAUAGAAGGGAAGUGUUAACACCCACCCCAAUGAGUUUCAACGAGGGGCGAGGGAAGAGGCCCAUAGGUAGCCUUGGUCAGGUACAUUAGGUUAGGUUAGGUUACUUUAGGUCAAGGCAGGCUUGGUGAAUCAAAACAACUGUGAAGAUCGCCAUGAAGGGUGUGGGAACCAGCGUGGCUGCGGGCGGCUAGGCCCAUUGGCAGGCUAGGUCAGGUACAUCAGGUUAGGUUAGGUUACUUUAGGUCAAGGCAGGCUUGGUGAAUCAAAACAUCUGUGAAGAUCGCCAUGAAGUGUGUGGGAACCAGCGUGGCUGCAGGCGGCUAGGCCCAUUGACAGGCUAGGUCAGGUACAUCAGGUUAGGUUACUUUAGGUCAAGGCAGGCUUGGUGAAUCAAAACAACUGUGAAGAUCGCCAUGAAGGGUGUGGGAACCAGCGUGGCUGCAGGCGGCUAGGCCCAUUGACAGGCUAGGUCAGGUACAUCAGGUUAGGUUAGGUUACUUUAGGUCAAGGCAGGCUUGGUUUGAUUUCAUUUGGCUGUAUCUGUCAGAUCUGUUGUUGAUACAUACGUGUGGCAACCUUCACGCCCCGCCGUUGUCGUGGCUGGGCGCUGCGCAGGGACGCCACACCCCGCGGGCAAGCCACACUGCUGCCCGGGCACAUUAUUAGCACUUUAGUAAAGGAAACUAACGGCUGGGAGGUGCACCAGGAGCGCCAACUUGUACUGAAGGUCAAGGGUGUGCUGCAGGGCUCCUGUGUACACGCGGGGCUGCUGGAGCCACACCUCUCGCCCCUCGUGCCGCACCCCGCCACGACCACACUGUCACAGCCACACCCCACCCACAGCCACGCUCACGCCCCCGCCCACAGCCACGCUCACGCCCCGCCCACACCCACGCCCUCUUCAUCCAAGG